AUCCUUUCCGGUCGGGCAUGAGACCUUGAGCAGAAAGGGGGUGAAGUUCAUCCAUUGCACUCCAGCUGUGCUGCCCCCUGCCAUUUCCCCUAAUGUGGGGAACUUGACUGCAGAAUUUGUGGCAGCUUAAAAUUAGGUCUUAAAUUAUGG
This 150-nucleotide small nuclear RNA is filed under the name Varanus komodoensis (Komodo dragon). RNAcentral describes it as "U1 spliceosomal RNA (ENSVKKG00000013139.1)". It matches the Rfam family "U1 spliceosomal RNA". Rfam says of the family: U1 is a small nuclear RNA (snRNA) component of the spliceosome (involved in pre-mRNA splicing). Lineage: Eukaryota; Metazoa; Chordata; Lepidosauria; Squamata; Varanidae. The record is from RNAcentral.